GGUGAACGCUGGCGGCGUGCCUAAUACAUGCCAGUCGAGCGAACAGACGAGGAGCUUGCUCCUCUGACGUUAGCGGCGGACGGGUGAGUAACACGUGGAUAACCUACCUAUAAGACUGGGAUAACUUCGGGAAACCGGAGCUAAUACCGGAUAAUAUAUUGAACCGCAUGGUUCAAUAGUGAAAGACGGUUUUGCUGUCACUUAUAGAUGGAUCCGCGCCGCAUUAGCUAGUUGGUAAGGUAACGGCUUACCAAGGCGACGAUGCGUAGCCGACCUGAGAGGGUGAUCGGCCACACUGGAACUGAGACACGGUCCAGACUCCUACGGGAGGCAGCAGUAGGGAAUCUUCCGCAAUGGGCGAAAGCCUGACGGAGCAACGCCGCGUGAGUGAUGAAGGUCUUCGGAUCGUAAAACUCUGUUAUUAGGGAAGAACAAAUGUGUAAGUAACUAUGCACGUCUUGACGGUACCUAAUCAGAAAGCCACGGCUAACUACGUG
RNAcentral lists this ribosomal RNA (497 nucleotides) under uncultured bacterium. RNAcentral describes it as "partial 16S ribosomal RNA". It matches the Rfam family "Bacterial small subunit ribosomal RNA", at positions 28 to 507 of the family's 1533-position model. The record is from RNAcentral.